GGGGAUUUAGCUCAGUGGUUCAGCACCUGCAUCGCAAGCAAAAGGUCCUGAGUUCGAUCCCCAGUACCCCCC
This 72-nucleotide transfer RNA is filed under the name Fukomys damarensis (Damara mole-rat). It matches the Rfam family "tRNA". From Rfam's summary of the family: Transfer RNA (tRNA) molecules are approximately 80 nucleotides in length. Their secondary structure includes four short double-helical elements and three loops (D, anti-codon, and T loops). The record is from Rfam by way of RNAcentral. Lineage: Eukaryota; Metazoa; Chordata; Mammalia; Rodentia; Bathyergidae.